This is a non-coding RNA of Pelobates cultripes (western spadefoot toad), 678 nucleotides long. Lineage: Eukaryota; Metazoa; Chordata; Amphibia; Anura; Pelobatidae. The record is from the annotation of a GenBank genome assembly.
AGCAUUAUAAAAAUCUAUUAUGCCCAAAUACAGUUCUUAAAGGGUCAGUAACAGUAUAAUAUGAGUCCAUAAGCCCCCAACUCAGUUCCUUAAAGGGCAAUACAUCCCAGGGCCAUAGUCGCAGGGCAGGAGGCUGGCCAACAGGCCCCUCCAAAAGCCAGUGGCGAGGUUACUUUCGACACAAUUAUUACUUUGCCACCGGCUCCAGGAUAGGGUCAGAUGCCCCACGGUCAUACACUUUUUUUACUGGUUGAGGCAGGAUCCCUCACUCCACGUAGUAUCAUUAGCACCACUGCACUGUUUUCGGCACUAGAUGUCUCAUUGUCCCCCGACAAAACAAUAGACCCCACAACACAGUUGGUUUUCCUGGGUAUCUCACUCAACUCAGUGUCUAUGCAGGCAUGCCUCCCCGAUGUGAAAUUGGUAUGCAUCAGACAAGAACUGGACCAGUUCCUCCAAAAAUGUACUGGUACUCGGCGGGAUCUCCAGUCUCUACUGGGAUACCUCAGUUUUGCAAUGCGUAUCAUUCCACAAGGGAGAUCCUUCAUCUCCAGUCUACUCUGCCUCCUACCCGGCGUGCCUGAUGAUGGCACCAUAGUCAUAAACCUGCCAGCCGUAGCCGAUUUAAUCAGCAUUACACUCUGAAGUUUGAGAAUGGAGUAAAAUAUUUAUUUGGAG